RNAcentral lists this long non-coding RNA (753 nucleotides) under Ursus maritimus (polar bear). RNAcentral describes it as "lncRNA (ENSUMAG00000020855.1)". The record is from RNAcentral. Lineage: Eukaryota; Metazoa; Chordata; Mammalia; Carnivora; Ursidae.
GUCGGCCCGCCCUCCCUGGGGACGCGGAGCGUGUUUGUGUUUGUGUUCGUGUCCGACACCACGCCCCUCCCACGUCCGCCUGGAAGGGCCCCCACACCUACCCCACCCCCGACUGCCACCACCUGGAGCAAAACUGAUCGCUGUCCCCUUUUCGUCCCUCAGCACCCGCAACCUCCGGUUCUUGUGCACGCACUUCCAGGGACUGGCAGCACGUCACCAUCACCUCCUGAGAAGAGCACUCCAAUUCUAUCAUAGAUUGGGUAUGGAAGAAGAUAAACCCCAUCUUGGAGAAAUCAGGUCUAGGAAAGAGCACCCAGGCCACAGCUACAACCCAUGGCCAGGUGGUCAAGGUGAGGCUCCCUUUAUAAUCCUAUGAGUAUUCUUAUGUCUCAGGGGACCAGAGCCAGGGCUGGUCAAUUUUUUAUCAUUCUCCCAUAUUUUUUAAAUUUGAAGGGUUAGAAUUCUCUCCAUGUGUCUUUAUCAGAGCAUAUAGUAGUCUGUUCCCCACUAUUUAAGUAAUGUCAUGAUGAAAUUCAGCACAUGUGAUUGCAACGUAGUAAGAUUCUUUCAGAAAUCAUAUGCCAUUAGACCAGAGAUAGACUCCCUGCACAGUUGGAAGGAGUAACUGAGGUGCCCUUUUCAACAGAUACUUUUACAGAAGCCCCCCCUUAUCCAUGGGAAAUGUGCUUCAAGACCCCCAGUAGAUGCCUGAAACCAUAAAUAGUACCAAACUCUACAUAUACUAUGAUUUUC